RNAcentral lists this ribosomal RNA (253 nucleotides) under uncultured bacterium. RNAcentral's name for it is "partial 16S ribosomal RNA". It matches the Rfam family "Bacterial small subunit ribosomal RNA", at positions 524 to 776 of the family's 1533-position model. The record is from RNAcentral.
UACGUAGGGGGCGAGCGUUGUCCGGAUUUACUGGGCGUAAAGGGCUCGUAGGCGGCCAACUAAGUCAGACGUGAAAUCCCUCGGCUUAACCGGGGAACUGCGUCUGAUACUGGAUGGCUUGAGUUUGGGAGAGGGAUGCGGAAUUCCAGGUGUAGCGGUGAAAUGCGUAGAUAUCUGGAGGAACACCGGUGGCGAAGGCGGCAUCCUGGACCAACACUGACGCUGAGGAGCGAAGGCGUGGGGAGCGAACAGG